This 241-nucleotide unclassified non-coding RNA is filed under the name plant metagenome. Its description in RNAcentral is "partial contains small subunit ribosomal RNA, internal transcribed spacer 1, and 5.8S ribosomal RNA". The record is from RNAcentral.
UUUCCGUAGGUGAACCUGCGGAAGGAUCAUUAUUGAAUGAAACACUUCUGGCUUUAUGCUGUUGCGCUGGCCCUUUGGGCAAUGUGCACACGGCUCUGGUCACUUGUUUCUUCUGUUCCACCUGUGCACUGCCUGUAGACACGCUGUGUCUAUGAUAUUUGUUAACACACAACAAUGUUAGUUGGCAUGUUAUAUAUAAUAAUAAAAUAUACAACUUUCAACAACGGAUCUCUUGGCUCUC